GUGCUUUGUUAAAUUACGUUCUGUAGGACCAGGGUUGGUGAGGCAAAAUCAAUUAUAAAAUGGAAAAUUCAUAAAGUCCAUCCAGGAGCUUCCUGUAUUUUUAGGAAAAGGAUGUUGAGAUUUCUUGGAGCCACAGAAAUCCUUGUAUAUUGAACUAAAAAUAGAGAGGGAAAGAGAAGAUGUGGAAAGUGCAUCCAUUUGCUCUAAACAUUCCAAGGCAAUCAUUUGCUUUUCUCAUCUCCAUCCUCUUCCUCUAAGCCAGCAGAUGUAUGUGCUAGCUUGGCUCCCACACUGAACUCACAUUUUGAGAUCCACAUCCGGUCAGAGGAACAAAGUUCAAUGUCAUUGUUCUCUGGUAAGUAUUGUGUAAGAUUUUCUCUUAAUCCUUGAUGAUCUGUCAGUAGCUAGAUUCCUGCCCUUGCAUCAAUAACUACUUCAUAAGACUCAUUCUUCACCUUCACUGACCUUCAACUCUACACUCUACCUCUGCCUCACCCUUGGUUCCCACUCUGCACUUCCUCCCAGGCAGUCUGCCACCUGGCUUCUCUAACUCCUGCCUUGAGCCAAAUCCCGACAGGACUUGUUACUUUCACUUGCUCUUUUUUCCUCCCAUUUUAGCAGCCAAGGAUGGGAAUUACACAGCGAAAUGCAGGCUAAUCAGCUAAAUCUAGAUUAAAUAUGCUAGUCCUUGGGGACCUUGAGCUGAAUUAAUGGAAACCGAGGUUUUUAAUGUUCCAGACUAAUUUUGGAAGCUCACUUCCAGCAGAGGCAAACUUGAGGCUGUCCAAAGGGAGCAGAUGGCAAGGCUUUCUCCAGGUGCACCAACCUUUGAAACAGCCCUCGGCAAAACCAUGAGGAAGGGAGGAGGCUCCAUGAUCUUACCUUCCCAAUUAUGAAGUAAGCAACGAUGACCUCUUAAACUCGUGAAUCUAACAGUGGUUGGGCAUAGAUAAUUGCUGUGAAAUACUUGAUGACUGAUUAGCUUUGAUAAAGAAUUCUGAGAUAAUUUUUAUGCUGUUGUUACUAAUCCCACCCUCAGCAUUCUUUCAAAAAUGAGAUUAUUUGUCUUUUUCUUCAUGGCCUUGGUGGAAAUAUAAAUUUCUUUUUAACCCUAAAAUUGUCUUGGACUUAUAACUUGAGAUAUCCUAUGAGAAACAGAUUAAUUAUGCCUGCUAAUUUUGGAACAAACUAUCAGCCUAAUAAUGUCUUUCUAGUUCCAUCUUCCAUCAUUUGAAAUUCCAGUAAAGUAAUACUUGUUGAGUACUAACAUUUAUAUGUAUUUUACGUCAAUGAUCUGAACGUA
Molecule: long non-coding RNA, 1303 nt
Filed under: Homo sapiens (human)
Lineage: Eukaryota; Metazoa; Chordata; Mammalia; Primates; Hominidae
Description: HSALNT0247263
Source: RNAcentral